UUUACCUAUCUUCUCCUACCCAUUUUCCUUACUACAACCCCAGUAACCCUAUAGAGUCAUCCGGUCGAUUUCCCUCGUUUUCCUUUUCUUUUCCGUUCCAUUUUCCUCCAUCUUCCUCUGACUAUCUUCCCCAUUUUUCGAUCUCAUCUCCCUUCCUCUUCACUCUUAAAUGAAAUGAAAGGAAAUUUACAUUUCCUUCCUUCUUUUUUCGAAGCAUCGGCCCUUGUUGUUCGUGUGCGAUUUUUGCCCUACUUUUCUCGAUUUUUUUGUCCCUGCCCUUGAAACCCAUUUCCGUUUUACAAUAGUGGCAUUUUGACGCUGCCUCCGAAACAAAACUCACCCUCUCUCACGGUUGUGUUUCGUUGAUCGAUUGCCUUCGUGUGUUACCUCCAAAACGUUUCUCAUCCUUUCUCCAUCUUUCCAAUGAACCCUUGCCGCUUCCCAUCCUUGACGGCCCAAGAACGAGUUCACUACACUUUUCUUUCGAUCGAACGACCAUUAAUGUCACAGAUGCUACACUUGCUUGGUGAACGAAAGCCGAGUAGGGGCACCAUGGCAGGGGUCGUCGAUGUACACCGAAGAUGAGACGUAUAUCAAAGUCAACGUUCCAGCAAGUGAGCGGGCUAGGUAUAGAACACACAAGGGGGAGGUCGCUACAAAUGUCCUUGGCCUGACACGAAAGUAGAUUCCGUUUAUGUACUUGUCGGUUAGGAAGGAUCAGCUGUAGACUCAUGCAUCCUUCGCGAUGUCAUUUCAAGACCUAAUGGCCUGAAGGUGUCCAAGGCAUGACAACUGCAUCAAGACUACCUAAGCACAAAAGAGGAAGAGGUAGACCUCGUCGAGUUAGUAAAUUCUGGUGGCUGGAGGUCUGACAAUAGAACCUUUCGUCCCAGGUACCUAAAUCAACUUGCGAGAAUGAUGGCCUUCAAGAUCCCAAAUUGUAACGUUCAUACUUCAACGAUCGAUAGGUGAAUAAAAUUGUUGAAGAGAAUGUUUCAUGUGCUAGCCGAGAUGCAUGACCUGACCUAUAGUGGGUUUGGGUGAAACGACGAAUAAAAGUGCAUCGUCGCAGAGAAAGAAGUGUUUAACGAUUAGGUCAAGUCAUCCGGCAGCGAAGGACCUCCUUAAUAAGUCGUUUCCCCACUAUAAAGAACGACCGUAUGUUUUUGGCAAAGGUCAUGCGACGGGAGCCCGGGCCGAGAUUUUUACAGAAGUUGGGUCUAAUGAUCCUGCUAGGUAUGAGGCAUUUGCCGCUAACGCUGCACCAGAUAUAGAAUUCCAGCCUAUGUACAAUCAGGGAUUGGUCAUGUCAUCUGACGAAUUAAUGGGAACAAGAGUCGCUCGGGUAAGUAAGGAUAGACAUGUUUCGAACGGGUCUAAGUAGAAACGUGGAGGACAGCUCACAGACAGUGGGGACGUAAUUCCGACUGCGAUUGAGUACGUAAAUGUACAACUUAACUGCAUUGCUGACGAGCCUGUCCUAGUUGGAGGCCAAACAUGACAAGAGUUCAUCUGACAGUUGAGGGUCAUCCCUGAGCUGACAUUGAUGAAUAGGUGUCGCUUAAUGCGUAUAGCGAUGUGUAAUGUGGACGACAUGAAAGCUUUCCUUGACGUUCCCGACAAAAUGAAGUUCCUGUACUACAACAUUAUUCUUAAGAAAACUCAUGACCACUUUAUUUUUUCUAUUUGUAUCAGUGGUUUUUCAAACUUUGACUAUUUGUUCUUCUUAUUACGUGUUUUUGUCUUCUUAUCGUAUGAACUUCUCUUUGUAUUCAAGCUUUUAUGGUAUGUAUUUUCGUUCUACUUUCAUA
Molecule: long non-coding RNA, 1811 nt
Organism: Cucumis melo (muskmelon)
Lineage: Eukaryota; Viridiplantae; Streptophyta; Magnoliopsida; Cucurbitales; Cucurbitaceae
Exons: 4
Source: RefSeq, a predicted model, not a curated record